RNAcentral lists this unclassified non-coding RNA (358 nucleotides) under Hermetia illucens (black soldier fly). RNAcentral's name for it is "uncharacterized LOC119655286, transcript variant X1". The record is from RNAcentral. Lineage: Eukaryota; Metazoa; Arthropoda; Insecta; Diptera; Stratiomyidae.
UUCGCAUGAUGAAGUUAGUUUUUUCACGAGGGUUGUGGGCAUUGUAACCGUCCAAACUUAAUGUCAGAUUUUUUAACAAAAUAUGUUCCCGUGUGCUGAUGAAAAAUUACUGAGCAUUAGAUUCAAGGUUAUCAUUGUAAAUCCGAUCUAAACCGCAUUGGGAAUCUUUGGAAAGUGCUAAAUCAACUGUUCGUAUUCAGGUAUUUUCUCAAACGGCGGAAUCGAUGUUUGUUUCACAGAAAGAAUGGACGAAGACGCCGAUUGAUGUCCGUUUGUAAACUCGGUGCCCUGCAAAUGCAAGCUAGGGUCAAAGGCAAAUGGCCAUGCUACUACAUAUUAAUAGAAAAAAUGCCUGCCA